RNAcentral lists this ribosomal RNA (254 nucleotides) under uncultured bacterium. RNAcentral's name for it is "partial 16S ribosomal RNA". It matches the Rfam family "Bacterial small subunit ribosomal RNA", at positions 524 to 776 of the family's 1533-position model. The record is from RNAcentral.
CACGUAGGGUGCGAGCGUUGUCCGGAAUUCUUGGGCGUAAAGAGCUCGUAGGCGGUGUGUCGCGUCGGCCGUGAAAACCUGCAGCUCAACUGUGGGCUUGCGGUCGAUACGGGCAUCACUGGAGUUCGGCAGGGGAGACUGGAAUUCCUGGUGUAGCGGUGGAAUGCGCAGAUAUCAGGAGGAACACCGAUGGCGAAGGCAGGUCUCUGGGCCACUACUGACGCUGAGAAGCGAAAGCAUGGGGAGCGAACAGG